CAUUAUUCACAUGGGAAAGCUAAAGCAAGGGGGAAAUAAGGCACUUGCCUAAAUCUCUAGAACACGUGCUACCAAUGGGGAGACAAGUGAAAAUCUCUGAGAGUGAGAUCAAGGUAAUCAUCGGUCAGAUCAACUAAACCUGUAACAUGUCUUCACCAAGCAAGCUUGCUUUAACUGUUGCUACAAAAACCUUGCAUGUUCUCCAAGCAUCAGGUAGCUUAAACAAGUUGUUUGUCAAGAACUUGGAGCCAGCUGUGUCCAGUUUAAGUUCAAGCCAGUUAACUGGCUUAGGACCACCAGCCCUCUAAUUGGGCUUGAACAAGUGUUUGCCCAUGACCUUUUGACAUCAGAGGGCCCAAAACUCCACCCUCAGAACAUGCUAAUGUCUCCAUUUCUUGAAUCUUCAGCCUAUGAAGAAGCCUAUAGCAUAGUUUUGCCUGCGAGAACAAUUAUAUCACUUUCUAAUUUCCAAUCACCUUUUCCCAUGCUUCCCACGCCUCGGCUUUAUCCCAUAAAUACCCCCAGCCCCUUAUUUCAGGGGAGGCUGGUUUGAGAGUUCUCCAUCUUUCUGUUUGGUCACCUUGUGGAUGAGCCCUUUGGUGCAAAGUUUGGCAUCUCAGCAUUUGGUUUGCUGUAUACGUCAGAAAGCAACCUGUUUAAGUAAGAAGAGGAUGUUGGGCGUGCACCCAGUCUUCUGUAGUGGAGCAGGCCAAGGAGAAGAAACUUGCAAGGUGGCUCAGAGGUAAAGAAUCUGUCUGCCAAUGCAGGAGAUGAAGGAGACAUACAUUGGAUCUUUGGGUUGGGAAGAUCCCCUGGAGUAGGAAAUAGCAAUUCACUUCAGUAUUCUUGCUGGGAAAGUCCCAUGGACAGAGGAGCCUGGAGCGCUACAGUCUGUGGGGUUUUACUCAAAACUGGAUACACAACUUGUGAGGCCCAGUGCAAAAUGAAAAAUGGUGGACUGCUUAUUCAAAAAGCAGAAGAAGAAAGGCUGUUAAAAGUACUAAAUUAUACAACUUUCUCCUUUAAAAAGAUUUGAUUGUUUGUAAAAUGUAACUUGAAUCAAAUUGCUAUAUGAGUAAUAAUAUAUAUAUUGAAAAAAGUACUUCUGGUGUCAUAAGUUUAUAUAAUAUAAUAAAUAACUGUGGUGUUGGAGAAGACUCUUAAGAGUCCCUUGGACUGCAAGGAGAUCCAACCAGUCCAUUCUGAAGGAGAUCAGACCUGGGAUUUCUUUGGAAGGAAUGACGCUAAAGCUGAAACUCCAGUACUUUGGCCACCUCAUGUGAAGAGUUGACUCAUCGGAAAAGACCCUGAUGCUGGGAGGGAUUGGGGGCAGGAGGAGAAGGGGAUGACAGAGGAUGAGAUUGCUGGAUGGCAUCACAGACUCGAUGGACGUGAGUCUAGGUGAACUCCGGGAGUCGGUGAUGGACAGGGAGGCCUGGCAUGCUGCGAUUCAUGGGGUCGCAAAGAGUCAGACACGACUGAGAGACUGAACUGAACCUUAAUAGUUUGAUCAUAAGAUUUAUUCUGGAUCAGUUUUCUGCAAAUCAAUUUGUUAGGUCAUCCAAAUAUAUAAUUUUAGCAACUUCAUUUCAAUGAAUAAAAUUAAAGAAGCAUCAAUCACUCCUGGCAAAUGUAAGACUGCAAAUAAUGUUUGAAAAAGUUUAAUUUUGCAAGCAUCUUCCUACUUAUGUACCUAUUAAUUAAUAAGCUGUGAUAAGUAUUUCAUAGGCUGUGACAAAUUGUGAUAAAUAUCUGGCAAAUUAUUUUAAAAUAUAAAUUGUAUUAUAUUUAGAGCUUAUAAUUGUGGGAUAAUUUUUCUAAAGAGAUUUAACUCUUCAUACAAGUGAGUUUCAGGUAAGUCUAUACUUAAUUUUAAAUAUGAAUUUGCACAAUGGUAUUUUAAUGGUUCCUUUGACUUUCUUUAGUUUAUGGAUAUCAUUUAAGAAGAUGAAAGGGACUUCAUGAUUUGUAUAUAAUUUUUAAUGUCUGUUUUAUAUCACUAUCUUCAAUUAGAAGGAAACAUUCAUUUAAAAAUUAUUUUCCUUGUUAAUAAUUAUCUGAAGCUUCGUAAGAAUUUGGGAUCCUUUUCUAUUAAAUGCAAUGUCUUUACAUUUAAUCGCUAUCACUAAGCUUGUGAAUACUUACUUUUUAAUACUGCAGCAGCUUUCACAAGUCAGGGAUUCUAAACUCUGAAGAAUUGUAAUGACUCCCUGAUAUGCUUUAUUGUGGUUUCAGUGUGUUUGCUGUUUGUAAUUAUCUGCUGACAAAGUUUACUGUCGAGCACAAGCAAUUUCUGUCCAGUGUUUAGAAUAAAAAGUUAAUAUUUGUGCAAAGCCUUAAGAACAGGCCUCAGGGAUGGGAUGGAGGGGCAAGCCAGCCUCCCACCAGGGGUUCUGAGGGUGCUUCCUCU
Long non-coding RNA from Bos taurus (domestic cattle), 2410 nucleotides. NCBI's taxonomy places the organism in Eukaryota, Metazoa, Chordata, Mammalia, Artiodactyla, Bovidae. The record is from Ensembl.